This 468-nucleotide ribosomal RNA is filed under the name uncultured bacterium. Its description in RNAcentral is "partial 16S ribosomal RNA". It matches the Rfam family "Bacterial small subunit ribosomal RNA", at positions 28 to 507 of the family's 1533-position model. The record is from RNAcentral.
GACGAACGCUGGCGGCGUGCUUAACACAUGCAAGUCGAACGGAAAGGCCCUGCUUUUGUGGGGUGCUCGAGUGGCGAACGGGUGAGUAACACGUGAGUAACCUGCCCUUGACUUUGGGAUAACUUCAGGAAACUGGGGCUAAUACCGGAUAGGAGCUCCUGCUGCAUGUUGGGGGUUGGAAAGUUUCGGCGGUUGGGGCUGGACUCGCGGCUUAUCAGCUUGUUGGUGGGGUAGUGGCUUACCAAGGCUUUGACGGGUAGCCGGCCUGAGAGGGUGAACGGCCACAUUGGGACUGAGAGACGGACCAGACGCCUACGGGAGGCAGCAGUGGGGAAUAUUGCACAAUGGGCGGAAGCCUGAUGCAGCAACGCCGCGUGCGGGAUGACGUCCUUCGGGUUGUAAACCGCUUUCGCCGGUGACGAAGCGUGAGUGACGGUAAUGGGUAAAGAAGCACCGGCUAACUACGUG